UGUGUUUUAUUAUAUGGUGUAUAAAAAUUUUUGAUAUUUUAGGAGAUAGUUUAAUUCUGUCAAACGCAA
Molecule: transfer RNA, 69 nt
Filed under: Anthobium melanocephalum
Lineage: Eukaryota; Metazoa; Arthropoda; Insecta; Coleoptera; Staphylinidae
Description: tRNA-Gln
Source: RNAcentral